GCACUACUGAGGAGUCCCAUACUAGGACGAGACGGUCGUCCAGUGU
Molecule: non-coding RNA, 46 nt
Filed under: Schistosoma curassoni
Lineage: Eukaryota; Metazoa; Platyhelminthes; Trematoda; Strigeidida; Schistosomatidae
Source: RNAcentral